Molecule: ribosomal RNA, 468 nt
Filed under: uncultured bacterium
Lineage: Bacteria
Description: partial 16S ribosomal RNA
Rfam family: Bacterial small subunit ribosomal RNA
Source: RNAcentral
GACGAACGCUGGCGGCGUGCUUAACACAUGCAAGUCGAACGGAAAGGCCCUGCUUUUGUGGGGUGCUCGAGUGGCGAACGGGUGAGUAACACGUGAGUAACCUGCCCUUGACUUUGGGAUAACUUCAGGAAACUGGGGCUGAUACCGGAUAGGAGCUCCUGCUGCAUGGUGGGGGUUGGAAAGUUUCGGCGGUUGGGGAUGGACUCGCGGCUUAUCAGCUUGUUGGUGGGGUAGUGGCUUACCAAGGCUUUGACGGGUAGCCGGCCUGAGAGGGUGACCGGCCACAUUGGGACUGAGAUACGGCCCAGACUCCUACGGGAGGCAGCAGAGGGGAAUAUUGCACAAUGGGCGGAAGCCUGAUGCAGCAACGCCGCGUGCGGGAUGACGGCCUUCGGGUUGUAAACCGCUUUCGCCUGUGACGAAGCGUGAGUGACGGUAAUGGGUAAAGAAGCACCGGCUAACUACGUG